GACGAACGCUGGCGGCGUGCUUAACACAUGCAAGUCGAACGGUGAAGCUCCAGCUUUCUGGCGUGGAUCAGUGGCGAACGGGUGAGUAACACGUGAGCAACCUGCCCCUGACUCUGGAAUAAGCGCUGGAAACGGCGUCUAAUACUGGAUACGAGAAGGGUCCGCAUGGGCACUUUCUGGAAAGUUCUUCGGUUGGGGAUGGGCUCGCGGCCUAUCAGCUUGUUGGUGUGGUAAUGGCUCACCAAGGCUACGACGGGUAGCCGGCCUGAGAGGGCGACCGGCCACACUGGGACUGAGACACGGCCCAGACUCCUACGGGAGGCAGCAGUGGGGAAUAUUGCACAAUGGGCGAAAGCCUGAUGCAGCGACGCCGCGUGAGGGAUGACGGCCUUCGGGUUGUAAACCUCUUUCAGCAGGGAAGAAGCGAAAGUGACGGUACCUGCAGAAGAAGCACCGGCUAACUACGUG
Molecule: ribosomal RNA, 468 nt
Filed under: uncultured bacterium
Lineage: Bacteria
Description: partial 16S ribosomal RNA
Rfam family: Bacterial small subunit ribosomal RNA
Source: RNAcentral